UAUCAUAGAUCUUCCUCUUCGAUUUCAAUGAUGAAUUGAAUUCAAACACAUACAACUUAAACACGCCGACAAAAACCAACCGAACCAAUCGAAGGCGUAGUCAUGAUCCAAGGAUCCUGUAAAUGCAGAGUCUAGGUCACGAUUCCGAUUAGAAGUUGAAAUGGACGCGCAUCAUCGUUUGAUUCUCUAGAUGGUUCAUGAUUUAUCAGCGAGUAUCGAUUCCAGGAUGAAGAAUAUUGCAGCUCCUCAAUUGUUUCGGCUACAACAGUACUUAUGUGCAGUAGUGUGGAGUGCUCCUCUCUGGCUAAACUAAACACACAUGAUUAUACAACACUUGCAGGAUUAUUAGUGAUCGCGGUGAAGUUGAUCGUUAUAUGAGUUUGUGGGAUCUUGAGCCACACAGGAACUGGUUUUAAGCGAAUUUUGACAAGUUAAAUCAAUUGAAGAUACGGGAGAGUAUUGCAAGUAAAUGCGGCUAGAAAGGCAGGAUAGUCAAUGGGAGGAGGGAAUUAUUACCAUGCGUCCAUACUAUUAGUGUUGGUGGUAAAAUCAAGAAAUAAGACGAUCAUGCACUAGGGGGUUCUGCGAUAUUGUAAUUAUACUUUAUUUAUUGGUUGACCAUCCAAGUUAAUUCUACAUCGUGGGUGGGAGGUUUUUAAGAGUUGUUGUUUUAAGUCUUUUAAGUGUGAUUUUUGAUUUUGGCAUAUGAUGUUGGCCUAUGAGGCUAGGAACUUUUUGUUAUACGUCUUAUAUCCAAUGGAAUGUGUUGAUGUUUCGUUCUU
Long non-coding RNA from Camelina sativa (false flax), 782 nucleotides. RefSeq lists it as uncharacterized. The record is from RefSeq and is a predicted model, not a curated record. Lineage: Eukaryota; Viridiplantae; Streptophyta; Magnoliopsida; Brassicales; Brassicaceae.